GUAGCAUUUUCUCCAUGAGUAUGUGGAAAUUCCUUCUCAUAAGAUUCUCCAAGGAUGUCCUCACUCAUCCCAGUUAGCUAAUACCGAAGUGAAAUGGUGCUGAAGGCUUCUAAUUUCACAUGGAAAAGGACGCUAGUGUCUGAAUUGUUGUGAUGGUGAUAUGGCUUGUUCAUUUUUUCCUUACUUCUUCUUUGCUAGCUUUCUAGUUGAAUGGAAUUGCUCCUUAUCUCCUUCUGACUGUGGGAAAAUGCAAAAGCUUGAGCUGCGAUAAUAGAAGUCCAUUGGUUUCUUCUUUCACUAGGAGUUAUCGGGCUCUGACAUUGUGGUUACGAACUCUUUGCUAGUCGACUGUUGCCCGCACCAAUGCGAAAUUCAGAGUACAGAGCUGAUUGAAUCUGACAGCAUGGAGACUGCUUUGGCCAACUUAUUGUCUGUUCCUUAGCUUUUCAACGUUUUUCUUUUCUCAGGUUGGGCAAGAAGGUUGGUCCACGAUUGAGCCAUGCCCUUGAUCGCUGGUGCUGCAUUGUUCCAUCGUGGAGUCUCUCCCGGAUUCGCCUGCAAAAAGAGACGCUCGGCUCCCUCUUAAACUGAGAGCUCGUGUAGAAAGAAAAUGGAGAGAAGAGAGAAAGAAAAAGAUCUGAUUUUGGAGAUCACUAACAUCUCCUACUAAACAAAAAAUAUAGCAGGUAUAAUACCGUUUUCUGUGGAGAUUACCUGCUUCCAUUAGUAUUUUCAGUUUGGACGGGGCUUUUCUUUGAUACGAUAUUAUUUUCCUGUCUUAAUUCCAGCAACCGGAGGAAGUUGUUUGAGCAAAGUAAUUGUAAUGCUUCAGUUUUAUUUGGCUCGUGAUCAUGAUAUGAAUAAAAAAGGUCAGAAUGCCUGCAAAAGGAUAUUUGAUGUCUUCAGUCAAAUAGUACGA
Long non-coding RNA from Syzygium oleosum, 919 nucleotides. RefSeq lists it as uncharacterized. The transcript has 3 exons. NCBI's taxonomy places the organism in Eukaryota, Viridiplantae, Streptophyta, Magnoliopsida, Myrtales, Myrtaceae. The record is from RefSeq and is a predicted model, not a curated record.